This 406-nucleotide ribosomal RNA is filed under the name uncultured bacterium. Its description in RNAcentral is "partial 16S ribosomal RNA". It matches the Rfam family "Bacterial small subunit ribosomal RNA", at positions 30 to 526 of the family's 1533-position model. The record is from RNAcentral.
AUUGAACGCUGGCGGCAGGCCUAACACAUGCAAGUCGAACGAGUGGCGGACGGGUGAGUAAUGUCUGGGAAACUGCCUGAUGGAGGGGGAUAACUACUGGAAACGGUAGCUAAUACCGCAUAUUAUUCGAGCGGCCGAUAACUGAUUAGCUAGUUGGUGGGGUAAAGGCCUACCAAGGCGACGAUCAGUAGCUGGUCUGAGAGGAUGACCAGCCACACUGGAACUGAGACACGGUCCAGACUCCUACGGGAGGCAGCAGUGGGGAAUAUUGCACAAUGGGCGCAAGCCUGAUGCAGCCAUGCCGCGUGUAUGAAGAAGGCCUUCGGGUUGUAAAGUACUUUCAGCGGGGAGGCGUUACCCGCAGAAGAAGCACCGGCUAACUCCGUGCCAGCCGCCGCGGUAAUUC